AUGCCCGAGCAGGGGAGCAAGGCGCCGAGCUGGUGGAGGAGGUUCCGGUGGCUAUACGCGGCGCGGUGCACGGUGGCGUGCGUGGUCACCCUGGUGGCCGUGGCAGUGAUCGUUCGGGCAGUGGUGGUGAUGCUCCGCCCCGAGAAGCUCCAGCUGAAGCUCGCCGGCGGCCGCGUGGCUGUCGACUACAUCCCGUCACUGCCGCCACCGCGCAACGUCGUGGUCUUCAGGGUCCUCCUCAGGGCCAACAACCCCGGCGGGCGCGCCACCAUUGUUUACGCCAACGUCACCGUCCGGCUCACGGACGCGUCGGCGGGACCUGCUGCGACGAUCACCGAGUUCGACCUGCCGCAGCGCAUCGACGUGGCGCAGCGUAUGGCGCACGAGGCGACCGCGGUGGCCGAGCUGGAGCCGGGGGAGGACCUGCCGAUGAGGUACGUGCGCACGCUCUAUGAGGGGCGCGGCGUGGCCGGCGCGGAGAUGGAGCUGAGCGGGGUCUUGUCCACCCACACGGCGAUGGCCACCACCAGCGUCCUCACCACGUACUACUGCUGGCCGGUGACCAUCGCCGUCGUCGCAGGCGACUCCGCCGCCGACGUGCCCUGCUUCGACAAGCUGGACGCACCGGCCCAUGUGUGA
RNAcentral lists this ribosomal RNA (639 nucleotides) under Triticum aestivum (bread wheat). RNAcentral's name for it is "partial small subunit ribosomal RNA". The record is from RNAcentral. Lineage: Eukaryota; Viridiplantae; Streptophyta; Magnoliopsida; Poales; Poaceae.